UAUUUUUGGUAUAAUAUAAAUUGAAGGAUAAACUUUAAAUACCAUUCACGUGGUUUCAAACUUUUUUACUUUAAUACCAUGUAGUUUAAAGUGUAUUAAUUUAGUAUUAUGUUGUUUCAUUUUUCUCUUUUCGUCAGCCCUCUGCUAACAUUUCAUUAAAUCGUGUACAAAAAACUUCAGAUACUCUACCUAAGUUCAUCGAAUAUUCACUUUAGUACUUUUUAGUUUUAACUUUAUUACUGAUUAACGAAAAAAAAUUAGUGGAGGGAUAAUAAAAAGAAUAAAAUGAAACCAUAAGGUACGAAAGUGAUAUAUUUUAAACUAUAGGGUACUAAAGUGAAAAAGUACGAAACUAUUGGGAUGGUAUUUGAAGUUUUUUCUAGAUUGAAAGAUACUUUACUUGUCAUUC
RNAcentral lists this long non-coding RNA (409 nucleotides) under Ananas comosus (pineapple). Its description in RNAcentral is "long non-coding RNA (ACOM_LNC009123)". Lineage: Eukaryota; Viridiplantae; Streptophyta; Magnoliopsida; Poales; Bromeliaceae. The record is from RNAcentral.